CUACGGGUUGCUGCAGUGAGGAAUAUUGCGCAAUGGGGGAAACCCUGACGCAGCGACGCCGCGUGGAUGAUGAAGGCCUUAGGGUCGUAAAAUCCUGUCAGGUGGGAAGAAGUGGAUAUAGAUUAAUACUCUAUUUCUUUGACGGUACCACCAAAGGAAGCACCGGCUAACUCCGUGCCAGCAGCCGCGGUAAUACGGAGGGUGCAAACGUUGUUCGGAAUUACUGGGCGUAAAGCGCGCGUAGGCGGUUUGUUAAGUCAGAUGUGAAAGUCCAGGGCUCAACUAUGGAAGUGCAUUUGAAACUGGCAGACUUGAGUACUGGAGGGGGUGAUGGAAUUCCCGGUGUAGAGGUGAAAUUCGUAGAUAUCGGGAGGAAUACCGGUGGCGAAGGCGAUCACCUGGCCAGAUACUGACGCUGAGGUGCGAAAGCGUGGGGAGCAAACAGGAUUAGAUACCCCCGUAGUC
This 465-nucleotide ribosomal RNA is filed under the name uncultured bacterium. RNAcentral describes it as "partial 16S ribosomal RNA". It matches the Rfam family "Bacterial small subunit ribosomal RNA", at positions 339 to 795 of the family's 1533-position model. The record is from RNAcentral.